UACGUAGGUGGCAAGCGUUGUCCGGAUUUACUGGGUGUAAAGGGCGAGUAGGCGGGACUGCAAGUCAGAUGUGAAAGCUAUCGGCUUAACUGAUAAACUGCAUUUGAAACUGUGGUUCUUGAGUGAUGGAGAGGCAGGCGGAAUUCCUAGUGUAGCGGUGAAAUGCGUAGAUAUUAGGAGGAACACCAGUGGCGAAGGCGGCCUGCUGGACAUUAACUGACGCUGAGGAGCGAAAGCGUGGGGAGCAAAC
RNAcentral lists this ribosomal RNA (250 nucleotides) under uncultured bacterium. RNAcentral's name for it is "partial 16S ribosomal RNA". It matches the Rfam family "Bacterial small subunit ribosomal RNA", at positions 524 to 773 of the family's 1533-position model. The record is from RNAcentral.